ACCUAUGGCCAUACUUACAUGAAAGGGCUUGCUUCCUUCUGGUCUUAGAAACUAAGCAUGAUUGGGCCUGGUUAGUACUUCGAUGGAAAACCAACAAUGUUAAGUUGAAUCUUUGAAGCCAGCUU
Cricetulus griseus (Chinese hamster) is the source of this 125-nucleotide ribosomal RNA. NCBI's taxonomy places the organism in Eukaryota, Metazoa, Chordata, Mammalia, Rodentia, Cricetidae. The record is from Ensembl.